UCGUAACAAGGUUUCCGUAGGUGAACCUGCGGAAGGAUCAUUG
Molecule: ribosomal RNA, 43 nt
Filed under: Alnus incana
Lineage: Eukaryota; Viridiplantae; Streptophyta; Magnoliopsida; Fagales; Betulaceae
Also listed under: 274 other names
Description: 18S ribosomal RNA
Rfam family: Eukaryotic small subunit ribosomal RNA
Source: RNAcentral